GCGAAGAACCUUACCACUUCUUGACAUGGAGAUUAGAUCCUUCUUAACAGAAGGGCGCAGUUCGGCUGGAUCUCGCACAGGUGCUGCAUGGCUGUCGUCAGCUCGUGUCGUGAGAUGUUGGGUUAAGUCCCGCAACGAGCGUAACCCUCAUCCUUAGUUGCCAGCGGGUUAAGCCGGGCACUUUAAGGAGACUGCCAGUGGUAAACUGGAGGAAGGUGGGGAUGAUGUCAAGUCAGCACGGCCCUUAUGGGGUGGGCUACACACGUGCUACAAUGGUGACUACAAUAGGUUG
This 292-nucleotide ribosomal RNA is filed under the name uncultured Anaplasma sp. Its description in RNAcentral is "partial 16S ribosomal RNA". It matches the Rfam family "Bacterial small subunit ribosomal RNA", at positions 961 to 1249 of the family's 1533-position model. The record is from RNAcentral. Lineage: Bacteria; Pseudomonadati; Pseudomonadota; Alphaproteobacteria; Rickettsiales; Anaplasmataceae.